RNAcentral lists this ribosomal RNA (253 nucleotides) under uncultured bacterium. RNAcentral's name for it is "partial 16S ribosomal RNA". It matches the Rfam family "Bacterial small subunit ribosomal RNA", at positions 524 to 776 of the family's 1533-position model. The record is from RNAcentral.
GACAGAGGCCUCGAGCGUUAGGCGGAAUCACUGGGCUUAAAGCGUGUGUAGGCGGAUCGUUAAGUACCUUGUGAAAUCCCACGGCUCAACCGUGGAACGGCUGGGUAUACUGGCAAUCUUGGGCCGACUAGGGGCAGCCGGAACAAGCGGUGGAGCGGUGAAAUGCGUAGAUAUCGCUUGGAACGCCGAAGGUGAAAACAGGCUGCUGGGGUCGCGCCGACGCUGAGACACGAAAGCCAGGGGAGCAAACGGG